GACGGUUAUGACCCUAGCAUUGCAUAUACUACACUUACUGCCGCCUGAAAAUUACAAGUCAACUGCUGAAAUCUUCAAGGACCAGGCGGUACCUCACACCCACCUAGAGGAGCCUGUUCUAUAAUCGAUACUCCACGCUAAACCUCACCACUCCUCGCCACCCAGCCUAUAUACCGCCAUCUUCAGCAAACAAAUGAGUG
RNAcentral lists this ribosomal RNA (200 nucleotides) under Lissemys punctata punctata. RNAcentral describes it as "partial 12S ribosomal RNA". The record is from RNAcentral. Lineage: Eukaryota; Metazoa; Chordata; Testudines; Trionychidae.